RNAcentral lists this unclassified non-coding RNA (2894 nucleotides) under Hevea brasiliensis (rubber tree). The record is from RNAcentral. Lineage: Eukaryota; Viridiplantae; Streptophyta; Magnoliopsida; Malpighiales; Euphorbiaceae.
CUUUCAGAGAUUGAAAAGCUUAUGAAGAAACUUUCUCAUUUCUCCUUAAUUCUACUUUUUUGUUCCUUUAUAAACCCUAGCCGUGGAAGCUCUGACUGAAAACGCUAGGAAGAAGCUCCAAUUUCCACACCUUUCACAAUCCCACCACUACCCAACCCACAUGGACGCCGUCAAUAUUUCCUCAUCAGUCAGACUCUUCUCUGAGAUCCUAACUCACACCGACCCUAAGGAUAUCGAGUCUGCACUCUCCUCAACUGGAAUUCCUCCUGCCCCUGAUCUUGUUCAUCAAGUCCUCAAGCUCAAUUACAGCAAUCCCUCUUCUUCUGUGGUGUUUUUCCGGUGGGUGGGCCGGGCACAUAAGCCUACCCCUUAUGCGUGGAACCUGAUGGUGGAUUUGCUUGGCAGGAAUCAGCUUUUCGAUUGCAUGUGGGAUGCCAUUCGUUCUAUGAAGCAAGAAAAUGUAUUGUCAAUGGCGACUUUUGCUUCUGUUUUUGGGAGUUAUUGUGCAGCUGGUAGGUUUAAUGAAGCUAUAAUGAGCUUUGAAGUUAUGGAUAAGUAUGGUAUUCAGCAAGAUGUUGUUGCUGUGAAUUCGCUUUUGAGCGCUAUGUGUAGGGAGGAUAAUCAGACUAUAAGGGCAUUGGAGUUUUUUGAAAGGAUAAAAUCUAAGAUACCCCCAGAUGGUGAUACAUUUGCUAUUUUGUUGGAAGGGUGGGAGAAGGAAGGCAACCCUGCAAAAGCAAGGAUUACAUUUGACGAGAUGGUUGUUCGCAUUGGAUGGAGCCCAUCAAACGUACCUGCAUAUGAUGCGUUUUUGACCACACUUGUUCAAGCCUCGCAAAUAGAUGAGGCUCUCAAGUUCCUCAAUGUUAUGAAGGGGAAGGCUUGCAUCCCAGGUUUGAAAUUUUUCUCUAAUACUCUUGAUAUGCUUUGUAAGCAGAAUGAUUAUGUGAAUUCUGUCCCAUUGUGGGAUACAAUGCUGGACAGUGGGGUAGUGCCUAAUUUGAUUAUGUACAAUAGGAUGAUUAGCUUGCUUUGCAACAAGAGUGACAUUGACAAUGCAUUUCGGUUGCUUGAUGAGAUGGUCUUCAAUGGAGCUUUUCCAGAUAUUUUAACUUAUAAUAUGAUUUUUCAUCGUCUGAUAAAAGAUAAAAAGGUUUCCCAAGUAGGCAAGUUCUUCUGUGAGAUGAUCAAGAAUGAAAUGCCCCCCACUUAUCAUGAUUGCGCUGUAGCCAUCACAGUGUUGAUGGAUGGUGAUGAUCCUGAAAUGGCAAUUGAGAUAUGGAACUACAUGGUUGAGAACCAUGUUUUGCCCCUUGAGCUUGAUGAGAGCGCAAACAUGCUUCUCAUAGGCCUUUGUAAUUUGGGUAGGUUAUCGGAGGUGAGGAGGUUUGCAGAAGAUAUGCUUGAUAGAAAAAUUAAAAUAUAUGAAUCAACUAUGUCAAAGUUGAAGACUACCUUUUAUAAGGAGGGUACCAGUGCAAGGGACAGAUUUGAUAGCCUCUCAAGGAGAUGGAGACCUUCCUAGAUAUGAUUCUGUAAAUUCCUUUUUGAUCCAUCUAGUGAAGCUUUCAUUGUGGUAUAUCUGUUACAGUCAUUAAUGGAAAAGCUUUGUUGUGAGCAUAAUCUUCCAUGUCCUAUUUCCUUUGCCUUGUCCUCUUCUAGUAAUAUGAUCAAUGCUCUCUUUUUCUCUCAUUGAUAUCCUGGAAUUUUGGUAACUUUCCAACCAUAGUAAUUGGUCCCCUCUUACUCCUUCCUUCUAGCCUCUCUCUGAUAUGCACAUGCAAAUGGCUUUUUAGUUUUAAUUGCAUGUUUUAUUUUCCCUUCAUGCAUAUUAUUCCAUUUCUUUUUAAUAUAUGUUAGUUAAAUGUUUUGGAAGCUUUUUGGCUGGUGUUAUCAAGGCGAGAGGAGAUACUAAGGCAAUAAGGUACCCUAUGGCCUUAGACGAGAGGUGAGGUGAGGGCCUUUUUGAAGAAGGCACCAUAGCCUAAAUUGUCUAAAUUAUGCAUAUAUAUGUAUAACACCUUGCACAAAUGUAUUCAGAUUUCAAUAGUUGCCUAGUCUUUCUUACUCUUUUACAGCAAAACAACACCUUACACAAAUGUAUUCAAAUUUCAAUAGUUAUUAAUUUCCUCAAUAGCUAUUAGCCUACAAUGACACAUAAAAUACAUGUGUUAUCCACCAUAAAUUUGCAAGGAGCGCCUCAAUGUCAAUUUUAAUUUCUAAUCACUAGUAAAACUGCAUACGGAUAUUAAACAAUAGCCAUAUAACAAAAAAUUAAACAACAAAUUAACAAAAAAAAUAUCUAACAAAACAAUUAAAUUCAAAAUUAAACAAUACCCAUGUGACCAAAAAAAAAAAAAAGCAAUACCCAUAUAACAAUAAUAAAAUUAACAAUGACAUCCGUAUAACAAUAAAUUAACAAGAAACAUUUCAUAUCUAAAAAAACAAUUAAAAUAAAAAAUAAAAAUAAAUAAAACAAUAUGACCAGCAGAGUAAAAAAGAAGAGAGAAGAGUAGAGAUUCUGUUUUGAAGAAGAAGACCAGAGAAAAGAAGAAAACAAAGAAAAACAAAGGUUCUAUUUUGAACUACAGCAGAGUAUAAGAGGAGAAGAGAAUGAGACUUUGUUGUGUUGAAACUUGAAAGAAGAAAAACAUAGAAGAAGAGGAGAAGAAAUAGAGGAAAGAAGGAGUAGAGGAGAGAGAGAGGGAAAGAUGAGACAUACCCAUAGUCCCAUACAACAGAAUUCAUUAAAAAGAGGAGGAGAGAAAAAGAAGAAAAAAAUGUAAAAAAAAGGAGUGUGCAAAGAUACUGUUGUAUUUUAGAGAAGAACAAAAUAGAGGAGAAGAAAGAGGAAAGAAGAAGGAGAAGAGGAGAGAGAGAGAGGAAGGAUGAGC